This 425-nucleotide ribosomal RNA is filed under the name uncultured bacterium. Its description in RNAcentral is "partial 16S ribosomal RNA". It matches the Rfam family "Bacterial small subunit ribosomal RNA", at positions 354 to 796 of the family's 1533-position model. The record is from RNAcentral.
GUAGGGAAUCUUGCGCAAUGGGCGAAAGCCUGACGCAGCCAUGCCGCGUGAAUGAUGAAGGUCUUAGGAUUGUAAAAUUCUUUCACCGGGGACGAUAAUGACGGUACCCGGAGAAGAAGCCCCGGCUAACUUCGUGCCAGCAGCCGCGGUAAUACGAAGGGGGCUAGCGUUGCUCGGAAUUACUGGGCGUAAAGGGCGCGUAGGCGGACAGCUUAGUCAGAGGUGAAAGCCCAGGGCUCAACCUUGGAAUUGCCUUUGAUACUGGCUGUCUUGAGUUUGGGAGAGGUGAGUGGAACUCCGAGUGUAGAGGUGAAAUUCGUAGAUAUUCGGAAGAACACCAGUGGCGAAGGCGACUCACUGGCCCAAUACUGACGCUGAGGCGCGAAAGCGUGGGGAGCAAACAGGAUUAGAUACCCGGGUAGUCC